GGGCCGGAGGGCAGGGGCUAGGCAGGCGCGGACGCUCCGUCCCGACCUCACGCGUGACACUGUGAGGGCCAGACGCCAGCCCCCGCGCCGCCCCCUGUGCCUUUGAGGUUGGGCCCGUUCUCAGACUCCAUCUCCGGCCGGGCCGCGCGCCCCGCGCCCUCGUGGGCUGGUGUCUCGCAGCUGGAGCUGGUGAGCAGGCUGCUGCACCUGCACUUCAAGGAUGACAAGACCAAAGUGAGCGGGGACGCGCUGCAGCUCAUGGUGGAGUUGCUGAAGGUCUUCGUUGUGGAAGCAGCAGUCCGCGGCGUGCGGCAGGCCCAGGCAGAAGACGCGCUCCGUGUGGACGUGGACCAGCUGGAGAAGGUGCUUCCGCAGCUGCUCCUGGACUUCUAGGGAUCUCAGCCGUGGCUGAGGCCACCCCCAGAGGAGCCCCUGGUCCACAGAAGCAGGCCUUGUGUUUCCAGCGGCCUCUGAUAAGAGGCAGGGAAGGACCUGAAGGAUUUGGAGUUGAUUCAAACAAGAUCUCUGGGAGUCUCCAGCCUGUGCAGAAGGGGCAGGACUGCAGUGCACUGCGGGCCUUGGAGUGUCCAGUGGGGACACUGGUGUGGGAAGGGGCAGCACCUGGGGAGUCCCUGCCUCUCCUCCCUGGGACAAUAGUGUGCAUGCCACCCGGGGUCCUACAGGCAGGUGCUGGGAAAGGCCUGGCCAGCAGGUAGCCUGUGUGUUUGACAAACAGCAGCUGGCAGCGCUGCCUCCUGCCCACAUUCCUGCCACCCGACAUCAAAGCUGGCGUGUGACCUUUCCAGCCAUGCGAUAUUCCCCUUGGAAGAUGCUUCCCCAGGCUAUAAAUUUGUUCUCACAAAGCAACAUCAAUAAAUCAAA
Molecule: long non-coding RNA, 882 nt
Filed under: Homo sapiens (human)
Lineage: Eukaryota; Metazoa; Chordata; Mammalia; Primates; Hominidae
Description: non-protein coding lnc-DCXR-2:6
Source: RNAcentral